This 253-nucleotide ribosomal RNA is filed under the name uncultured bacterium. RNAcentral describes it as "partial 16S ribosomal RNA". It matches the Rfam family "Bacterial small subunit ribosomal RNA", at positions 524 to 776 of the family's 1533-position model. The record is from RNAcentral.
UACGGGGGGGGCAAGCGUUGUUCGGAAUUACUGGGCGUAAAGGGCUCGUAGGCGGCCAACUAAGUCAAACGUGAAAUCCCACGGCUCAACCGUGGAAGUGCACUCGAAACUGCGUAGCUAGAGUCCUGGAGAGGAAGGUGGAAUGCUUGGUGUAGAGGUGAAAUUCGUAGAUAUCAAGCGGAACACCGGUGGCGAAGGCGGCCUUCUGGACAGUGACUGACGCUGAGACGCGAAAGCGUGGGGAGCAAACAGG